Molecule: long non-coding RNA, 6496 nt
Organism: Dermochelys coriacea (leatherback sea turtle)
Lineage: Eukaryota; Metazoa; Chordata; Testudines; Dermochelyidae
Exons: 3
Source: RefSeq, a predicted model, not a curated record
CUCCUCUGAAUAAGGACAGAGAGUCAAUUAGUUACUCAAAUUACAGAUUAAAGUAACCAAUAAUUGGGGUGCUACCUGAUGACUUUCCACGCUAAUGAAUUUCAGUUAUAAUCAGUGUUCCUAUAGAUGCACUAUAACACACACGUCUAGAUUUAUGACAGGUUUCAGCGUAGCAGCCGUGUUAGUCUGUAUCUGAUGAAGUGAGCUGUAGCUCAGGAAAGCUUAUGCUCAAAUAAAUUUGUUAGUCUCUAAGGUGCCACAAGUACUCCUUUUCUUUUUUCUAGAUUUAUGUCUGUCAUUGGUAACUCAGUGGAAAGCUUCCUUCAGAGACUUGGCAAUGCAGAGCCGUACAAUAAGCAGAGAGUAACAAUAAUAUAUAAGAAUCAUUUUAAUACUAUAAUAUUUCAUGUAGGAAGCAGCUUUGGAGCUUAGAGCAUUUUACAAACAUUAAUUAAACCUCCUUGUGAGGCAAGUCAGCAUUUCUAGAACCAUCUUACAGCUGCCAUUAACAAUUCAAUGUUUGCUACUCUAAAGUGAUUGUGAUACUGCUGUAUUUCCCAUUCCAAGGUUCGACAGAAGUUCAUGUAAGUACCGGGGCUGUGAAGUUUAUGUUUUUAAUGGGGUCCACUUGAAGCAAGGUUGGUUUUGUUUGUUUAUUUUCAAAUAAUCAAUUCCUAAUUCAAAAUGACAAAGAAUGAAUAGUGCUUUCUUUGCCCGUACAUGCCCAUCUUUAGAGAUUUGCCCUAAUUGUGGUUAACACAAGUUUAAUGAAGGCAGAUAACAAUAACUUCUUUAAAAAGACAAGCUUAUUAUUUCAAAAGAAGAAUCUCAGGGACAAGCUAUAGAAAGCCCUCCUGUGAUGAGGGAAGACAAGUGACAGAUAUUAAGUUUUUCAAAGUCACACUGGAAAAUAGCACCUUCUUAUCUGUUGGUUAUGCAUGGGGAAUCUCCUCUUUUAAUCUGUGGCUAACUUUCAGACUGGGCUCAUUCCAUAGCUCUCUUCUCUCUUAUUUGCAAUGGCUGAAAUCAAGGUAAAACAGCUGUAAUACUGAUGACAGGGCCUGAUUGUGCAACCAUUACACAAGUUGCUGAGCACUUACUCGUGAGAGAUGUUCCACUAGGACCUGAUUUUCAGUUAUACUCAAGGUUCCUUUAAGCCACAUUGGUGGAAGGUGCUUUAAAGGUGUGCACACAUUUUAAGGCAGUUUGGUAUAAAGGGGCCUUAGUGUAAAUGAGAACCAGGCCCAAUGAGAUUACUUGUGUAGUUGCUUAUCAUGUAAAGUAAGGGUUGCACAUAGUGUAUGUGUGCUUGCAUGUAUUGCAUGCCCUAAUGCAUACAGUAUGGGCCUAAUUUUCAGAAAUGCUGAGCUGUCAGUGGGAGCUCCCAUUGACUUAACUGGAUUUAUGAAUACUAAGAUCCUAUAUCUCUGUAUAGGAAAGUGCUAUCACUCAUGUCCACUGAAGCACCAACCAGCUGCCUCCCAUCUCCCUUUGACCCUCAAGAGAUGACACUGUACGGAGGAACUUUUCAAAUCAAUGCUGCUCAAGAACUUUGCACAAGCUGUUUUAACAAAAAUAGGGAUCAGACACUCGUUAUAAUAUAAUGCAAACGGGAGAAUGCAGGUUGGAAAAGAAAUCAGUGAUCAUUUGAUGGCAGUAGAGAUAAAUAAGACAUUCAUUCAAAAUCAAAAUACACCCCCCGCACCUCCCUCCCCCGAAAAAAUAAGUAAAGUCACAGCAAAGUCUUUCAAGGAAAAACAUAAUCUGUUUUGCAAAUGCCAUAACAACUUAAAAGCCAUUCAGAUUUCCCUGGACAUAACAUUCAAUUUCCAUUCUCUUCCAAGAUGCAGGCUCACAAAAACACUUUUCCUUUCAGUUUCCUGUUCAGGGACAUGCAUGUCUGAUCUGGAAAUGCAUCCAACUCCCAUCAUGCUCUCCUGUUCUCAUAUAAAAAUCAUGCAAUGCACCAAUUCCAAUUGCUGGGGAGCUCAGCCAGCCUCACCAGUAAAGCCUUGACCAUACAUGACAACAGAGAUGACAACGACAUGGGGAGUGAGAUGAAGAGAUGAUGUUUCUUAGGUUAAAAAAAAAAAGAUAUAACACGUCGUAGAAAAAGAUGAGACUGUUCUAACCAUUCCCAUACCAGUGAUUUUGUUACUGGUACGUGGACAGGGAGUAUUGCUAGUCUAUUGUCUGUUUCUCUAGCUGUACAUUUGCAUCUUGGUACCUGAUCAUUAGUGAAUUGCACUCAGAGUUUACACAGUUGUUUCCUUUUACUGUUGUAUUGUUCAAGGAGAAAUGAAUGUGCUAAAGGAAAAUAAGAGGCUGUUUAAAAACUCUGAAAAUCCCCACUCACAAUGUGUUACAAUCUUUUUUUUCCCCCUUUCAGACAUCACCACUUCCAUGGAAACACUGCCAGAUACUACCUCCUUGCAAUCUUCCUUUUGUUUGGCUCACAAUCCAAACAAAACCCAGCCACAUAUCCUGCUAUUUCCAUGUGUCUUGUAAAUAGCCGAUGCAUCGAAUCCUCUCUUUGCAUGCAGUUUGUAAAGGGAGAAUCAAUGCUAUGUCCCUUCAAAAGCUGGAUGGGGAACUGUCCAUGCUACAUAACUCAUUCCAAAGCAACAGGAGUUUUGUCCCAUGCAGAAAAUAGUUUCAGAACGAAGCCAUCUCUCAUGAAGCCUGGCAUUUCUGCAAUGGAACCACAGUACAAUAUGAACCCCAGAAUGUCAAAGCAGAAAUGAGAACAUAUGGAUAACAAAAUCCAUAGAAAAUACCUGUGGCAGCUAGAGCAUCCAGUGACUGAGAGAGCUGACCUUGAGUGCUUCCACGGAGAUUAAUCAGGUCAUUCUAAAUUGCAAAUAUACCAUGAUCCUAGGUGGAACAACUAACAAAGUGGACCAUGAUUAGGGACCCCUUAGUUAAUAACUGAAAGGAUGUACCUGUUGUAGCCACAGCUUCAAGAGGAUGGGAGCGCUGUCCUCCAAUCAUUCCAUACACCUUGAUUUUAUAGGAUGUGUUAGCCUGGAGGCCAUCAAUCACAGUGCCUAAGUAGUCUCCAGGCAUGAAGACUUCUGCAAGGGGCCCAGCUGCCACUUCCUUGUACUCCACCACAAAACUAGUGUAGGCUCCUGAGUCCGCCUUCCACGAGAGACUAAAGCCAUGCGCUGUCACAUUGGAGACCACAACAUCCCUCAGCGUAUCCUCCCCCAUCCCAGAAGCCUCUGAGCUCCAAGAUCCAGAGUACUCAUCUGGGCCAGGAGUUGUCUCCCACUUUAGAUCUAGACUAUGUGUGGCUAUAAAGAAACAAACAAGCAAAGGGUAGAAUAUGAAAUACUUAAUUCCUUCCUUUUUUUCAAAAGAACAAAAAAGUCAAUGAACUGUGCACUUCAUACUUAUUACCAUCUAAGCAGAUUUUGAAACCAGGACCUUCAGCACCAAAGGACAAACCUCUACCACAUGAGCUAAAGGAUCCAUUCCGUAACUUGGUAGCAGUAGUUGACUGUUAUCUACUAAUGGGCUGGCCACUGAAGGAGAUUGUGACACACACUCUUUGCCAGCGUGCUACACAAUUUGCAAAGAUUCUUAAUUUGUGUGUGUGCGUACGUGCAAAGGGGAUGGGUGUUGUUUAUAUUCUCAGAGGGAGAUUGAAGAAAGUAUGAGGGAGAACCAGCCAGACAUACAACACAUAAGAAAAUAAUGUCUUCAGCUCAACAGGAGCAAUGCCUAUCUUACAGUAUUUCAGUAGCAGAUAAUUGAAAGAUGCAAAUAAAAAAACCCUGCAAACCAAACCAAAGGCUCCCUGACCUCUGCAGGCCUGACUGAACAAACAGAAGUCAGGGAGGAUUAAGGAGAAAGACUAAAAUACACAACAUGGGUAAAGGAAGGGAACUUUGAAAGCAAAUACUCCCUGCCCUAAAGCAGGUUGCACUCUAUAAGCUGCAUGUGAAUCGGUUUCCCUUUUUUUUUUUUUCUCCCAGUGCGGAGGACAAAUCUCUCUUUUAAUGAAUGAGUGUUUCCAAGCUGUGCACCUGGGUUCUUCCGCUGCAUCCUUCCUAGAACACAAAGAGCUAGUUCGGUCCUACUCAUGCUCCUGGUGCCUUUCAUUUGAAUCAGAUACUCUCUGCUCCCUGCUGCUCAGAGCAAGCACUCCCCCGCCGACCCAUGGUGAAACUACGCAAAAGCCAUCUCUUGCUGUAGGCAGAGUGUAAGAGCUAACAAGAUUUGUUUUGCUUGGCCUGAGGCCUGGAGGAUCUCACACACGCUGGGACAUGGACGGAAUAAUGAAAGCAGCAAGCCCCCAGUUCACACAUACACAAGAUCUUAUUUUACAGCUCCUGAUUCUUAUGCAUUUGGGAUGCAUCCAUCCCCAGUCAAGGGACAGAUCCCAGAGACAGGUUACAUCAACUAGUGCUGCUGCAUCUCUGGUGCUUCAGGAGCUUCUCGGUUUAUUCAUGGCCCAGAGCAAAUGCUUAAAGAAUUACACUGGUUUCAUGCUUUUUUUUUAAAAUAUCCCAAGAAGGUAAAGAAUAAGGUUUGGGGGGAUUUGAUUCUGAUGCUAGACAUGACUAGCUUGUGAAACUCCACAUCAAGUUCCUUCUGAUGUAUGUUGUUUAAGCCUUUUCACCCUCUAUAUGUAUUUCUUGUGAGGGUCGGAAGAUUCUUCAAAGAGAAGGGGGAGAAACAACCCUGGAAAGAUCAAAGCUUUGCUCAUCCCUGUAGUGUAGACCUUUAGCUUUGUUCUGUGUGUCAGUGCCUGCUGUGUUUUCUCCCAGUUGGCUCCUGGCCUUAUUUAUUCAUCAUACAAUUUACUUACUGUUGAUGUUUACAGCAUAUGAAAUCUCAGCUGUCUUGAAUUAUCCAACUCUAUAUACCAUUUAUAGGUACAGCUGGCAUGAAAAAUACUAUGGAAAAUAAAGUUGGGUUGGAUUGGAUUGACUGUGUGGCAGCAGACUAAGGUGUCUACUUCAAUUUUCAGACUUCACAAUACCAGGCAAUGUUCUCUUGUCUACAACUGCUAAUUUGUAAGAUCUGGGAUUUUUUGCAUGGUUUGUACUGCACAUGGAAUUGAAGGAAAGAAGAUGAAACUCCGAGGCCCAGAUCUUCAGCUGGUGCCAACUGAUGUAACCUCACUGUUUUCAGUGUAGCUCUGCUGAUUAUACCAGCAACAACAUUCACUUUUAGUGGAAGAGACCACAAGAACUUCACAAUUUACGAGACAUCUACACUUGGACCCUAACUGGGACUCUUGAACAGUUCCAGCUUUCUUUGCUCUUUCCCCCUGGGUGGCCAAGAGAAAGGAUCAUCUCACCGGUUGCAGCAUUCAUAGUAGCGGGAGUACUUUCUCUGUCCUGCUUCACUGCUGUCACUCCAAUGCCAUAUUCAAUUCCAGGCCUCAGACCUACGGUGAAUGUGUAGAGGUGUGUCACUGUUUAGGGAUCGUGCUAGAUAAACGGUUUCUUGGUUUUGUUUUUAAUAAGAAAACUGUAGUGGCGUGGGAUCUUUCCUUUUCUAUGAAUAUUAAGAGCCAAAUUUUCAGGCAGUCUCUGGUGGGCCUCCAAUGUGGAAGAAAAAAUGGUUGCAUGCACAGUCAACUUGAUGAUUUAUUACUAUUAUCAUUGCAUUACCUGGAGACUUCAACCAAGAUCAGGAUCCCUGUGUGCUAGGCACUGUACAAACAUAUAAAUAGUGAAAAUUCCCACCUCAAAGAGAUUAUGAUUUAAAUAAAUGUAACCUGCACGAGUGUGCAGACUUCCAUGUUGAAUGUGAAAAUCCCAACUGCCUAACUUGCAGGCAAGAGGUCAACUUGCAAGCAUAAAAAGGUGUAUGCUCACUUCUGCAAGCACAUGCAAAAGUAGCAUGGAGAGCCCGAGACCUGGUGUCAGGUUUUUAAAGGUAUUUAGGUGCCUGGAAAUUCAGAGAGAUUUCAAAGUUACCCAAAAUCAACUGCCAUUGAUUUCAAAAUUGAUUUGAAAAUGCCACUAGGCGCCUAUCUGCCUCUUUAAAUACCUUUAAAAAUCUGGCCCUCAGACUGAAAAGGUGGCUCCUGACAGGAACAAAGACACAAUGUUCCCAAGUUAGUAAAAAAUGAGAGUCUCCUGGUAUGUAAAUCAUCUUCAAAGUCUUUUACAUCCUGAAUAUCUUCUCUACAACAAAAGAUUCAAAUACUCUUAUCCCAAUCUGCAUGGAUUUUGGGGUGGUUUUAAAGUCUCUUUCAUAUAUUCACAUUUCUCUUCACAUCUCUCCAACGUGACUCUUUCUAGUGCUGCAUUUUUGUAAAUUCUUUGUAAUCCAUUCAGAAGCUACAGUCUUUACACUAAGUGGGUCUCCUGUUCCUCUGUUGUGCAGAUAUAAUUCUUUAUGUCGGGGAAAGAUCCAUUCAUAGUGAAGGAAGAUCAGAUCUCUCUAGAUAGCUUACGAGACCCUAAUGAAAACAAUGCUCUUAUUGAAUAUUGAUGCAAUUAUGUUGUGAUUAUAUAAAUAUUAUGGUGGACUA